CAAGCACGCACUCCAGAGACUGGAUUGUCAUCCCAAUCUUUCCUACAAACCAUGAUGUAACAUUGGGCAAAAUGAGCAUGAUUUUCCUUAUCUACAAAAUGGAGAGGAGAGGAGGUCUCUUUUAGCUCUGCAAAUCCGAGCCUCUGUCUCCUCCUUUCCUUGACUUCUUCUAGCUCCUGUGUCCUCAGCCCUCCCAACUUGUAGCUAAGCCCUGGCUUUGUAUUAACCACCCUCCUUCUGUCAGCAUCACUGAGAGGCAUAGCCAAGGCCUGCCCUCUUCCUCCUCAAUGGCUCCAAAAUGCUGCUUGCACUGUCCCAUGCCACUCUGAUCCUAAGCAGCCAAGUGGGCAGGCUGACACUCCUUUGGGCAUGGAAGUGAACAUCAGCCAUGAGUAGGGAGAGGAAACUGCCCACAGAGAGGGCAGACUCCAUCAGGGGCAAGUGACAAAGCCACAGACUGACAUGAAGAGGCUUCCCAGGCCCUCUGGAAGGGAGCGAAGCCAGCAGCCUGGCUCCUGGGAUGGGCUGUCCGCUAUUCAGCAGCUCCAUGGGCCUGGAAGUGAGCCCAGGGAGCCAGCCAGAAGGAGGCUGUGGCCAGAGGCUUGAUUUGCAGCCUGGGACUAGGAUGCAGGGAGCUGGGUUCUCAUCCAGGCUUCACCCAUAGCAAAUGUGUGACUCUCCCUGGCCCUCUGGGCAGGGACUAUAACUACCUUGCUUACCCCAGUUGCUGGAGGCCAAUAUUCACUGAGCAUUCAUCAUGAGUCAGGCAUUCAGUAAUCCUCACAAUGGCCCUAGAAAUUAGCCUCUACUAUUUUCACGCUUUAGGGAGGAGGUGACACAUAGAACAUCUAAGUAACUUGCCUAACACUCCAUAGCUUAUAAGUGGCAGGGCCAGGAUCUUAGCCCUAAAUCAUACAUUGGAAAUGUAUUAUCAUUGAGGUCCCUCAGCAAUCUUGUGAUGCAGGUAUUACCAUCCAUUUUACAAACACGGCAAUGGCUCAGAAGUCUUCAGUUAUUUGCCUAGGGUCACUUGGCUGACUGUAGCAGAAUCAGGAUUUGAACCCAGGCCCGACUUCAAAGCCAGUCCUCUUCUCAUUGGGUUGCACCCCCAGCAUCAGCACAGGGACAGUUCCUCAGGCUGACUGGCCAAGGCCCCAUCUGUGAAAACAGGAUAGGAAACGGCAGCCUAACUCUAGGCAGGGCGCAGGCUCAGCGAGGGGGUCUACAGGGCUGAAGAGGCAGCUGGCCAGAGAUCCACAGGAAGCAUUUUGUUGACACAUCUUCAUCACUCUGGAAUUUGAGCAACAACAUUUACCCCUUCUGAAACUCACCCAGAGGAAGUGGAUUUUCUGACGCAGAUGAAGAGUGAGAACUGUCUCCAUUUAAGUCUUCUUUGAGAACAAUACCAGCUGAGCGGCUCUUUACAUUCCGGCUUCUUUUGAGAAUCUCUGAAGAUGAUUAAGUCAUUGUCAGCUGGCCCGGAACCAUAUCCUGCUCCACAAGCUUCAUCCUUGGCAAGGAGUUGCACCUGCCCAGAGAGAAAACCUUUUGAAACUGGCACAAAGGCACUGGAGAGACUGGCAAGGCCCCCACUUGACGAUCUGGCUCAUCCAUCUGCACACUGACCAUGCUAAGAGCUGUCUGCAGUGUUGGAAAACUUCUCUAGCUGUGCUGUCCUCUAUAGUGGCACUAGCUGCCUGUGGCUUCUGAGCACUUAAACUGUGGCUGCAGAGACUAUGUUAAAUUGUAUUUAAUCAUAAUUAAUUUAAUUUUAGUUUCUGUACUGGGCAGGGCAGGUGCACAUUUCCUACCUGGCCACGGACAGUAAGCUCCAUAAGAGGCUGAUUGUGCCUGGUUUGCUUCUAGGCUUAUCCUCAGCACCUGCACCAGUCUAGAAUAUGAUUGGCACUCUAUUAAUUAAAAGUUCCCAGGUAAAUGAA
Molecule: non-coding RNA, 1940 nt
Organism: Macaca mulatta (Rhesus monkey)
Lineage: Eukaryota; Metazoa; Chordata; Mammalia; Primates; Cercopithecidae
Source: RefSeq, a predicted model, not a curated record